UAGUUGGAACUAGGAGUUUAGACCUAUUACUUUGGCCUUUGAAUCAGAACUUUGAUUAAUAGAGACAAACGGGAAAAUUCAUAUUUCAUAAUGAGAGGUGAAAUUCUAUGAUUCGUGAAAGACAAACACACGUGCAAAAGCAUGUGGUAAGAAUGUUUCCAUUAAUCAA
RNAcentral lists this ribosomal RNA (169 nucleotides) under Olea europaea subsp. europaea. RNAcentral's name for it is "SSU_rRNA_microsporidia". It matches the Rfam family "Eukaryotic small subunit ribosomal RNA", at positions 813 to 980 of the family's 1831-position model. Lineage: Eukaryota; Viridiplantae; Streptophyta; Magnoliopsida; Lamiales; Oleaceae. The record is from RNAcentral.